This is a long non-coding RNA of Sciurus carolinensis (gray squirrel), 1068 nucleotides long. RefSeq lists it as uncharacterized. The record is from RefSeq and is a predicted model, not a curated record. Lineage: Eukaryota; Metazoa; Chordata; Mammalia; Rodentia; Sciuridae. The transcript is spliced from 3 exons.
AGUACAGAGCAAGACCAAAAAAAAAUAUUUAACCCAACUUUAUAACUGAUUUAGAUAGUGGAAACUUUAUGAACAUCAAGUGCACGGCACCCAGCAGUUGGGAGUGGAUGGGAGACGUUUGUUUGUUUUCUCCGAUUCCCAGUUCCAUGGUGAGGUCACUCCCAGGACCCGGCUAGCAGCUCCCUCCUCUUCGACUCACCCUGGGAGGGCAUGGUCUGUGCCUGAGCUGCCAUCUGGGAUCCGCAGGCAGGAGCACUCCUGGUCACUGGGUGGACUGACCCUUCAGAUCCCAAGGCCAGUCCGUCUCCACCAACAGAUGGGUGUUCGUGAACUGCCGUGUGGCUUCAGGCCUGCCCUUUCUAAGUCCUAGGCACUUGCUCACAGGGCGCUGGUAGGGCCAGGUCCGGGUUCCCCUGAGGCAGCGGCUGCCCCAUGGGUGAGGGUGCAUCUCUUUGCCUCCCUCUCUGCAGUUAUUCUGAUAAAUUGCACCCCUCCACACGCACCCUGUCCUGGCCUCUCCCCCAGACACCAGGAUCUGGUGUGCCCAGGUCUAGGAUAACGAAGUACACCAAUCAGAGCCCUUCCUGAAGAUUUUUCCAGCUGGAUCCAAGAGAGGAAAUUCACAUUGCCCCGCGUCCUUGGAAUUGUUAGGUGGGCCCUGGAUGACGCUGGCAGUCAUCUGUGUGGAUUUGGGAUCUGCAGGACGAUGACCACAGGAAGGCUCCAGCCCAGGCGGCCUGGCUGACACCAUUGCACUGCCCCAGCAGGGCACUCACCUGGGCCAUGCUUCCCGCUUCGACCCUGAGCUGGUUUGCGUUAUUGACAGUGGAAAGUGUCUUAAAAUUGCAGGAAAACAAGAGGGAAGCUCUCCUCCAUGCUCUGAGAAAGGAGGUCCCACUUACGUGCUCCUCAGGAUCGUUUGAAACUUGAAGGAACGCCUUCGGUAAUGCCAACUCUUCAUCUUCACCAAGACCUACCAGAGGUAUGGAAUCCACCCCCUUUCCGUAGAUGAGCAAGCUGAGGUGCAGAAAAUCUGGCUUACACAACUCACAAGUGGCAGAGACAGGG